This is a long non-coding RNA of Cucumis melo (muskmelon), 791 nucleotides long. RefSeq lists it as uncharacterized. Lineage: Eukaryota; Viridiplantae; Streptophyta; Magnoliopsida; Cucurbitales; Cucurbitaceae. The transcript has 6 exons. The record is from RefSeq and is a predicted model, not a curated record.
AAGUUCCAUUUUUUUUUCCUUUUUCCUUCUUCAAUUUGCAGAGAACUUCUAAGAGAGAGUUUGGAAGAAGAAGAGAAAUUUUACUAGAAUUUUUAGGUUGAAGAAGAGGAGGAGAACUCAAGCAAAGUGUAUCAAUGGCUGAAUUUUAGUUCAUUCUGCACAUCACUGGUAUUUAAUUCGGUUUGAACUCUUCAAAAGGAAUUAAGAGGGCAGUUGGUCUUCACUCGAAAUCAGGAGGUCUCUGGUUUUUCUUGUAUUUCAGAGUGUAUCGGUGGAGUUAGAAUCUCUAUUUGGGACAAGUUAAAGAGGUCGUGUGCGCGCGUUUCUGGAAGUGGUUCUGUUUUGAGGGUUAUAUGUGUUUAUGCACGGGGAAUCAGAUUUAUAUGUCUUCAGGCCGAGAAGAAUUAAACCGAGCUUAUAGACCAAGGAUCUAGCCCAAGACUGUAAAGAUCGACUUCCCGGUGCCUGAUAGACUGCCUUAGUCUGCGGAAGCUUCAUUAUCGAUUGCCAGUACGUGUUUUGAGUUGGGCAUAGAGUCUGUUGUGUUGUGGUGUAUAUACACCCUUGUAUGUUAUAGAUACUCCACAGUUUGUAUAAGCUUUAGGAGCUGUAGUUGUGUAAAUUUUGUUGGUUAUAUUUUGAUUAAGGUGUCUUUAGGUUUACUCGUGAAAUCGGUAAAUUUUGAGGUACACUUCAUGUAUGUGUUUGACUAGCUGUGUUUGACUAGCCUAGGAUCCGCUGUGUUUUGUGGCAUGUACAAUAGUUUAUAUACUAGAUUGGCAAGUUCAUCA